GAUCUAUAGCCCUCAAAUCUCCACUAGCUCAAAUUUUUGUAUGCAUUACCACACACUUGCAGAUGUGUGUAUGCUUCAUCCCUCUUUAAAAUUACAUCCUCAAAUACUAAGUUCUUUUCUGCCAAGUCCUUGAAUUCAAGGAAUGCUGGUGCCGAAUUGGUCCUCAAUUCCAGACCUUUCUACAUAGAAACAUCACAAACAGCUAAUAGAACACCACAAUAUGUUGCAUUACACUUAUUCCUGGAUUAUUCUUGUAUGCCAAUUGAUUCUCCCACAAACAUUUUUCUUCCAUUCUGAUUCCAGAAAAG
RNAcentral lists this unclassified non-coding RNA (308 nucleotides) under Hevea brasiliensis (rubber tree). The record is from RNAcentral. Lineage: Eukaryota; Viridiplantae; Streptophyta; Magnoliopsida; Malpighiales; Euphorbiaceae.